RNAcentral lists this long non-coding RNA (789 nucleotides) under Numida meleagris (helmeted guineafowl). RNAcentral describes it as "lncRNA (ENSNMEG00000000687.1)". Lineage: Eukaryota; Metazoa; Chordata; Aves; Galliformes; Numididae. The record is from RNAcentral.
AUGAGACGGACAGACAGGCAGCUCCCAGGGAAAAGGAAGCUACCCAAUGCCCCUGCAGAUUCUGUGUGUAUUACAGAAGUCACAGGAAGAAAAAAAGCAGAACAAAACUGGUUGCGGGGUAAGGACCAUGUUGACAUUAACCCCCUUGCUAAUGCUAUAAAGGCACCACUGGAGCGCAGCACGCUCAACAGCCAUGAAAACUUGUUGAGAUGCAUGCACAGCUCCUCUGUGUACAAAUGCCAGAUUUCAUCCAUCUUAGCUUGUGCCCAUGCGGGCAAGGAGCAGACUCUCUUCCUCAAAACGCUGUCAAGAGAGGGAAAGAGGCAGCAAGUGCAUCAGUGUAGCUGGUGGAAAUCCAGAUCUGUUGUGUUACAGAUCAGAGCUGGGCGGGAUGUGGUUUGCUCCAUUGAGAGAGCAUUUCAUGGCAGUGCAGGCAGCUGGGUUAGCCCCAUCCGCACCUCUGUCCCCAUAUCCAUGCCAGCCCUGGGGGCAGAAGAGGGUGGCAGUGGCAGCGCAUGGCCCCGCAGCACAUCUGUGGCCUGGCAGUGUGUGCUGCAUGCCUGGCCCUCCGGAAGACAGGAAGUCGGCAGAGACAGGCAGCUGAGGGACAGGCAGGAGACAGGAACAAGGUCAGCACAAAUGCAGGAACCCCGGCCUCGACAGCAGACAAAGAUACAAGUCUUGGCUGGAUGGAGUUCUGAACAGAAGCGAAGCUGUCUGCACUGUGGAAAGAGGCCAUUUGUCAGAAAGUGUUCUGCUUGGGUCCUAAGCAGCAAAAUGCAUGUGUGA